AGAGUUUGAUCCUGGCUCAGGAUGAACGCUAGCUACAGGCUUAACACAUGCAAGUCGAGGGGCAGCAUUAUCGGAGCUUGCUUUGAUAGAUGGCGACCGGCGCACGGGUGAGUAACGCGUAUCCAACCUUCCCCUUAGUAGAGGAUAGCCCGGCGAAAGUCGGAUUAAUACUCUAUGUUGUAUUUUGAGGACAUCUGACGAAUACCAAAGAUUUAUCGCUAAGGGAUGGGGAUGCGUCUGAUUAGCUUGUCGGCGGGGUAACGGCCCACCGAGGCAACGAUCAGUAGGGGUUCUGAGAGGAAGGUCCCCCACAUUGGUACUGAGACACGGACCAAACUCCUACGGGAGGCAGCAGUGAGGAAUAUUGGUCAAUGGGCGAGAGCCUGAACCAGCCAAGUAGCGUGCAGGAUGACGGCCCUAUGGGUUGUAAACUGCUUUUGGAGGGGAAUAAAGUGGCGUACGUGUACGCCUUUGUAUGUACCCUCAGAAUAAGGACCGGCUAAUUCCGUGCCAGCAGCCGCGGUAAUACGGAAGGUCCGGGCGUUAUCCGGAUUUAUUGGGUUUAAAGGGAGCGCAGGCCGCCGAUUAAGCGUGACGUGAAAUGUCCCGGCUCAACCGGGGAGUUGCGUCGCGAACUGGUUGGCUUGAGUGCGGACGAGGUAUGCGGAAUUCGUGGUGUAGCGGUGAAAUGCUUAGAUAUCACGAAGAACCCCGAUUGCGAAGGCAGCGUACCAGGCCGUAACUGACGCUAAUGCUCGAAGGUGCGGGUAUCGAACAGGAUUAGAUACCCUGGUAGUCCGCACGGUAAACGAUUAAAGGCCGCUGUUUGCGAUAUAGUGUAAGCGGCCAAGCGAAAGCGUUAAGCAUCCCCACUCUGAG
Molecule: ribosomal RNA, 879 nt
Filed under: uncultured bacterium
Lineage: Bacteria
Description: bacterial SSU rRNA
Rfam family: Bacterial small subunit ribosomal RNA
Source: RNAcentral